Molecule: ribosomal RNA, 492 nt
Filed under: uncultured bacterium
Lineage: Bacteria
Description: partial 16S ribosomal RNA
Rfam family: Bacterial small subunit ribosomal RNA
Source: RNAcentral
AGUGAACGCUGGCGGUAGGCCUAACACAUGCAAGUCGAACGGCAGCACAGUAAGAGCUUGCUCUUACGGGUGGCGAGUGGCGGACGGGUGAGGAAUACAUCGGAAUCUACUUUUUCGUGGGGGAUAACGUAGGGAAACUUACGCUAAUACCGCAUACGACCUACGGGUGAAAGCAGGGGAUCUUCGGACCUUGCGCGAUUGAAUGAGCCGAUGUCGGAUUAGCUAGUUGGCGGGGUAAAGGCCCACCAAGGCGACGAUCCGUAGCUGGUCUGAGAGGAGGAUCGGCCACACUGGAACUGAGACACGGUCCAGAGUCCUACGGGAGGCAGCAGUGGGGAAUAUUGGACAAUGGGCGCAAGCCUGAUCCAGCCAUACCGCGUGGGUGAAGAAGGCCUUCGGGUUGUAAAGCCCUUUUGUUGGGAAAGAAAAGCAGCAGGUUAAUACCCCGCUGUUCUGACGGUACCCAAAGAAUAAGCACCGGCUAACUUCGUG